GGAGGGCUAUACUGCGAGUCGACGCGCAGCGAGAGGUGCUUGCACCUUUCAAGCGAGUGGCGAACGGGUGAGUAACACGUGGAUAACCUGCCUCAAGGCUGGGGAUAACAUUUGGAAACAGAUGCUAAUACCGAAUAAAACUUAGUAUCGCAUGAUAUCAAGUUAAAAGGCGCUACGGCGUCACCUAGAGAUGGAUCCGCGGUGCAUUAGUUAGUUGGUGGGGUAAAGGCUUACCAAGACGAUGAUGCAUAGCCGAGUUGAGAGACUGAUCGGCCACAUUGGGACUGAGACACGGCCCAAACUCCUACGGGAGGCUGCAGUAGGGAAUCUUCCACAAUGGGCGCAAGCCUGAUGGAGCAACGCCGCGUGUGUGAUGAAGGCUUUCGGGUCGUAAAGCACUGUUGUAUGGGAAGAAAUGCUAAAAUAGGGAAUGAUUUUAGUUUGACGGUACCAUMCCAGAAAGGGACGGCUAAAUACGUGCCAGCAGCCGCGGUAAUACGUAUGUCCCGAGCGUUAUCCGGAUUUAUUGGGCGUAAAGCGAGCGCAGACGGUUGAUUAAGUCUGAUGUGAAAGCCCGGAGCUCAACUCCGGAAUGGCAUUGGAAACUGGUUAACUUGAGUGUUGUAGAGGUAAGUGGAACUCCAUGUGUAGCGGUGGAAUGCGUAGAUAUAUGGAAGAACACCAGUGGCGAAGGCGGCUUACUGGACAACAACUGACGUUGAGGCUCGAAAGUGUGGGUAGCAAACAGGAUUAGAUACCCUGGUAGUCCACACCGUAAACGAUGAAUACUAGGUGUUAGGAGGUUUCCGCCUCUUAGUGCCGAAGCUAACGCAUUAAGUAUUCCGCCUGGGGAGUACGACCGCAAGGUUGAAACUCAAAGGAAUUGACGGGGACCCGCACAAGCGGUGGAGCAUGUGGUUUAAUUCGAAGCAACGCGAAGAACCUUACCAGGUCUUGACAUCCUUUGAAGCUUUUAGAGAUAGAAGUGUUCUCUUCGGAGACAAAGUGACAGGUGGUGCAUGGUCGUCGUCAGCUCGUGUCGUGAGAUGUUGGGUUAAGUCCCGCAACGAGCGCAACCCUUAUUGUUAGUUGCCAGCAUUCAGUUGGGCACUCUAGCGAGACUGCCGGUGACAAACCGGAGGAAGGCGGGGACGACGUCAGAUCAUCAUGCCCCUUAUGACCUGGGCUACACACGUGCUACAAUGGCGUAUACAACGAGUUGCCAACCUGCGAAGGUGAGCUAAUCUCUUAAAGUACGUCUCAGUUCGGACUGCAGUCUGCAACUCGACUGCACGAAGUCGGAAUCGCUAGUAAUCGCGGAUCAGCACGCCGCGGUGAAUACGUUCCCGGGUCUUGUACACACCGCCCGUCACACCAUGGGAGUUUGUAAUGCCCAAAGCCGGUGGCCUAACCUUCGGGAGGAGCCGUCUAAAGGA
RNAcentral lists this ribosomal RNA (1436 nucleotides) under Leuconostoc citreum. RNAcentral's name for it is "bacterial SSU rRNA". Lineage: Bacteria; Bacillati; Bacillota; Bacilli; Lactobacillales; Lactobacillaceae. The record is from RNAcentral.